UACGUAGGGUGCGAGCGUUGCCCGGAUUUAUUGGGCGUAAAGGGCGCGUAGGCGGCCACGCACGUCCGUUGUGAAAUCGCCCGGCUCAACUGGGCGGGGUCAGCGGAUACGGUGUGGCUAGAGCAAGCUAGGGGGCAAUGGAAUUCCCGGUGUAGUGGUGGAAUGCGUAGAUAUCGGGAGGAACACCAGUGGCGAAGGCGGUUGCCUGGAGCUUUGCUGACGCUGAGGUGCGAAAGCGUGGGGAGCAAACAGG
RNAcentral lists this ribosomal RNA (253 nucleotides) under uncultured bacterium. RNAcentral describes it as "partial 16S ribosomal RNA". It matches the Rfam family "Bacterial small subunit ribosomal RNA", at positions 524 to 776 of the family's 1533-position model. The record is from RNAcentral.